This 881-nucleotide long non-coding RNA is filed under the name Medicago truncatula (barrel medic). RNAcentral's name for it is "lncRNA gene43703". The record is from RNAcentral. Lineage: Eukaryota; Viridiplantae; Streptophyta; Magnoliopsida; Fabales; Fabaceae.
UAAGAAUAUAAGAUGUUACGGAGUCUAUUGGCAAAUGAUAUAACCGUAUCAUUCAAUAUUAGAACAAAAACAUCCAUAUCAAUACUGCACGAUUUGAUAAUGGAUACCAGGUUAUCUUCCACUUAGUGCAAGCCAUUAUCAAUAUUGCAUAUCUUGUCUUAUGGAGUAGCCAAAAACAGUAAUGAAGGUGUGCAACAAUUCCUCAAUUUAGUGGGGCACAGAGAUUUAAACGUUUCUGCAGGCCAAUGAAGAUUUAAAGCUCCAAGUCUAAAUAUAUGUAAGAAUCAAAACGCAAGCGUCAUUACAUGAGCUUACCAUAAAUUUUAAGAUAUUUUCACCCACUCCUCUCUUAUCUUCUCCUUAUUUGGAUUUGCCCAUACACACCAUAUUUCCUUCAAAAGGUUACAGUUAUGGAUUUGGAUUGCCUGCAGUCGCAAUCCGUCACGCAGUUAGCACACCGGCGGGCGUUGGUUUGAGAUUGGACAGUCCAUAUUUCAUAUUUGGUAUUAAAAACAUUAAAAUCUAGAUUUUUUUGCACAAACCGAUCUUGAUCCAAUGGCAACCUCUGUGCUGACUGUGUGAAUGCAUGGGCUGUAGUAUGCAAACAAUCCAAAUCCUGCAAUUAUAUAUAUGUAAUAAGGCUUAAAUAUGGAAAUAUCUAUGUAAUAAUAUAGCAAUAAUAUCACCCCAAAAUCUUAUGACCAAAUGAACUUUUAGUCAUUUUCCAAACCACCAACGAUAAAAGGAAAGAAAAUGAGACCCAAACAAGGGGAACAAUAUAGUUCUUCUCUUAUACUUACUUAAAAACAUGGAAAUUCAAAUAUCGUCUUGGAACUUGAGCAGUGUUAUGGUAUAUCUAUUUGUUGUGAAUUUAGAAAUAG